GCGCUGCUGAAGAGUCCCACGAUAGGACGAAACGACCGUCCAGUGC
Molecule: non-coding RNA, 46 nt
Organism: Schistosoma haematobium
Lineage: Eukaryota; Metazoa; Platyhelminthes; Trematoda; Strigeidida; Schistosomatidae
Source: Rfam